Molecule: non-coding RNA, 21 nt
Filed under: Arabidopsis thaliana (thale cress)
Lineage: Eukaryota; Viridiplantae; Streptophyta; Magnoliopsida; Brassicales; Brassicaceae
Source: RNAcentral
CGACACGUGCCUUUGGGAGCC